RNAcentral lists this ribosomal RNA (497 nucleotides) under uncultured bacterium. RNAcentral describes it as "partial 16S ribosomal RNA". It matches the Rfam family "Bacterial small subunit ribosomal RNA", at positions 28 to 507 of the family's 1533-position model. The record is from RNAcentral.
GAUGAACGCUGGCGGCGUGCCUAAUACAUGCAAGUCGAGCGAGCGGACGAGAAGCUUGCUUCUCUGAUGUUAGCGGCGGACGGGUGAGUAACACGUGGAUAACCUACCUAUAAGACUGGGAUAACUUCGGGAAACCGGAGCUAAUACCGGAUGAUAUUUUGAACCGCAUGGUUCAAAAGUGAAAGACGGUCUUGCUGUCACUUAUAGAUGGAUCCGCGCUGCAUUAGCUAGUUGGUAAGGUAACGGCUUACCAAGGCAACUAUGCAUAGCCGACCUGAGAGGGUGAUCGGCCACACUGGAACUGAGACACGGUCCAGACUCCUACGGGAGGCAGCAGUAGGGAAUCUUCCGCAAUGGGCGAAAGCCUGACGGAGCAACGCCGCGUGAGUGAUGAAGGUCUUCGGAUCGUAAAACUCUGUUAUUAGGGAAGAACAUAUGUGUAAGUAACUGUGCACAUCUUGACGGUACCUAAUCAGAAAGCCACGGCUAACUACGUG